Molecule: ribosomal RNA, 304 nt
Filed under: uncultured bacterium
Lineage: Bacteria
Description: partial 16S ribosomal RNA
Rfam family: Bacterial small subunit ribosomal RNA
Source: RNAcentral
CAGCAGUAGCCGCGGUAAUACGGAGGGAGCUAGCGUUAUUCGGAAUUACUGGGCGUAAAGCGCACGUAGGCGGCUUUGUAAGUAAGAGGUGAAAGCCCGGAGCUCAACUCCGGAACUGCCUUUUAGACUGCAUCGCUUGAAUCCAGGAGAGGUGAGUGGAAUUCCGAGUGUAGAGGUGAAAUUCGUAGAUAUUCGGAAGAACACCAGUGGCGAAGGCGGCUCACUGGCCCGAUACUGACGCUGAGGCACGAAAGCGUGGGGAGCAAACAGGAUUAGAGACCCGUGUAGUCCCUGUCUCUUAUAC